UGACAGUACUCUACGGGGAGGCAGCAGUGGGGGAAUAUUGCACAAUGGGCGCAAGCCUGAUGCAGCCAUGCCGCGUGUGUGAAGAAGGACCUUCGGGUUGUAAAGCACUUUCAGUCGUGAGGAAGGUAGUGUAGUUAAUAGCUGCAUUAUUUGACGUUAGCGACAGAAGAAGCACCGGCUAACUCCGUGCCAGCAGCCGCGGUAAUACGGAGGGUGCGAGCGUUAAUCGGAAUUACUGGGCGUAAAGCGCAUGCAGGUGGUUUGUUAAGUCAGAUGUGAAAGCCCGGGGCGUCAACCUCGGAAUAGCAUUUGAAACUGGCAGACUAGAGUACUGUAGAGGGGGGUAGGAAUUUCAGGUGUAGCGGUGAAAUGCGUAGAGAUCUGAAGGAAUACCGGUGGCGAAGGCGGCCCCCUGGACAGAUACUGACACUCAGAUGCGAAAGCGUGGGGAGCAAACAGGAUUAGAUACCCUGGUAG
Molecule: ribosomal RNA, 477 nt
Filed under: uncultured bacterium
Lineage: Bacteria
Description: bacterial SSU rRNA
Rfam family: Bacterial small subunit ribosomal RNA
Source: RNAcentral